GGGGAUUUGGCUCAGUGGUAGAGCGCUUGCCUAGUAAGCGCGAGGCCCUGGGUUCGGUUCUCAGCUCCG
Molecule: transfer RNA, 69 nt
Filed under: Rattus norvegicus (Norway rat)
Lineage: Eukaryota; Metazoa; Chordata; Mammalia; Rodentia; Muridae
Rfam family: tRNA
About the family: Transfer RNA (tRNA) molecules are approximately 80 nucleotides in length.
Source: Rfam by way of RNAcentral